RNAcentral lists this ribosomal RNA (962 nucleotides) under Panesthia tryoni tryoni. Its description in RNAcentral is "SSU rRNA". It matches the Rfam family "Eukaryotic small subunit ribosomal RNA", at positions 436 to 1302 of the family's 1831-position model. Lineage: Eukaryota; Metazoa; Arthropoda; Insecta; Blattodea; Blaberidae. The record is from RNAcentral.
GCAAAUUACCCACUCCCGGCACGGGGAGGUAGUGACNAAAAAUAACNAUACGGGACUCAUCCGAGGCCCCGUAAUCGGAAUGAGCACACUUUAAAUCCUUUAACNAGUAUCCAUUGGAGGGCAAGUCUGGUGCCAGCAGCCGCGGUAAUUCCAGCUCCAAUAGCGUAUAUUAAAGUUGUUGCGGUUAAAAAGCUCGUAGUCGGACUUGUGUCACACGCUGCCGGUUCACCGCCCGUCGGUGUUUAACUGGCAUGCACGUGCUGACGUCCUGCCGGUGGCCCGAGCCGGCCCGGGAGCUCUGGGUGCGGGAUUCCCUUCGGGGGCCCGCCUCGAACCUGGCGUCCGGGGAGGGCCUACUCAUACCCAUCUGGGUGCUCUUAACCGAGUGUCUCGAUGGGCCGGCACGUUUACUUUGAACAAAUUAGAGUGCUUAAAGCAGGCAGCAUCCGCCUGAAUACUGAGUGCAUGGAAUAAUGGAAUAGGACCUCGGUUCUAUUUUGUUGGUUUUCGGAAUCCCCGAGGUAAUGAUCAAUAGGGACAGACGGGGGCAUUCGUAUUGCGACGUUAGAGGUGAAAUUCUUGGAUCGUCGCAAGACGGACCGAAGCGAAAGCAUUUGCCAAGAAUGUUUUCUCUGAUCAAGAACGAAAGUUAGAGGUUCGAAGGCGAUCAGAUACCGCCCUAGUUCUAACCAUAAACGAUGCCAGCCAGCAAUCCGCCGAAGUUCCUCCGAUGACUCGGCGGGCGGCUUCCGGGAAACCAAAGCUUUUGGGUUCCGGGGGAAGUAUGGUUGCAAAGCUGAAACUUAAAGGAAUUGACGGAAGGGCACCACCAGGAGUGGAGCCUGCGGCUUAAUUUGACUCAACACGGGAAACCUCACCAGGCCCGGACACCGGGAGGAUUGACAGAUUGAGAGCUCUUUCUUGAUUCGGUGGGUGGUGGUGCAUGGCCGUUCUUAGUUGGU